Dama dama (fallow deer) is the source of this 1255-nucleotide long non-coding RNA. RefSeq lists it as uncharacterized. NCBI's taxonomy places the organism in Eukaryota, Metazoa, Chordata, Mammalia, Artiodactyla, Cervidae. The transcript is spliced from 5 exons. The record is from RefSeq and is a predicted model, not a curated record.
CUUUGAUCCAGGGCCAGGUGCCUUGAGUUUGGGUUCAGCCACCAUCCUUCGUACUUGGGGUAAACCUGAUUUGAGGAUGCUGAAGACGGCCUCCUGCACCAUGAAGAACCCAGUCCUUGGAGACACCCAGACCUGAGUCCACAUCCAGACAUCAGCUCUUACCAUGUGGCCUGGGUCUUCCUGCUGACUGAAUCCGGCUCCCCCGGAUGAACAAGGAUCAUCUCCCUUAACUAAAGUCAACCGACUGUGGACUUGAUUCACAUCUACAAAAUUCCUUCACAGCAACUCCUGGGAGAGAGUCUGGUUGAAUAACUGGAGGCUGUAACCUCGCCAAGUUCAUGCAUCAAAAGAUCGUCUCGAGAACCUUUCCUAAUGAGCCCUUUCAGCUUCCCUUGUGGGUCAGCUGGUAAAGAAUCUGUCUGCAAUGCAAGAGACCACAGUUCGAUUCCUGGGUCCUAGAAAGAUCCGCUGGAAAAGGGAUAGGCUACCCACUCCAGUAUUCCUGGGCUUCCCUUGUGACUCAGCUGGUAAAGAAUCUGCCUGCAAUGCAGGAGACCUGGAUUUGGCCCCUGGGUUGGAAAGAUCCCCUGGAGAAGGGAAAGGCUACCCACUCCAGUAUUCUGGCCUGGAGAAGUCCAUGGACUAUAUAGCCCGUGGGGUGGAAAAGAGUCAGACGACUGAGCGACUUUCAUUUUCACUUCACAACCAUCAUCCUGAUUUGUUCCUACAACAGUAAGAAUCAUGAAGAGUCCUUGGGCUGCUCCUUGGAAAAGAGACACUGCCAGGGAGGAGUUCCCGGAGAGAGUCUCACGGGAACAGAUCCAGGAUUCUACCCGCAGGCGUGGCUCAUCCAGUUCCGCCAGAAGGAAACCAACUUGCCCCGGUAACCUCCAUCUCAUGAGCAUGUCCAGAACUCAUCUGGGGUGAAGCUUUGCCUGUUUAGUUUAUGUUAGUCCUUGUUCUCGAAUCAGAUGCAUCCACAGGACCAUCUCUUCUCCUGUCAGUUGCCUGGCUGGCACAGACACUCUUGUCCCAGUGCUUGCGUAUUGUUGAAAAUGUUCCCUUAGAGUAGAAAUGAAAUUUGACUAUAAUUUAUAGAUUUGGGGAUGAAUAUUUUUGGAUUCAAUAUAUCCAUUUCCCAUGACUAUUUCUAGGAGAAGAAAAAGCAACAGAGACUUUGACCAAUGGAUAUAAAAUCAGAAUGGCAAAGGAAUAAUCACCUUUUCAUUUUUUCUUUAUUAAAUUUAAAAGCAUG